UGGGGUAUAGCUCAGCUGGGAGAGCGCUUGCAUGGCAUGCAAGAGGUCAUGGGUUUGAAUCCCACUAUCUCCA
Molecule: transfer RNA, 73 nt
Filed under: Anaerocolumna jejuensis DSM 15929
Lineage: Bacteria; Bacillati; Bacillota; Clostridia; Lachnospirales; Lachnospiraceae
Rfam family: tRNA
About the family: Transfer RNA (tRNA) molecules are approximately 80 nucleotides in length. Their secondary structure includes four short double-helical elements and three loops (D, anti-codon, and T loops). Further hydrogen bonds mediate the characteristic L-shaped molecular structure. tRNAs have two regions of fundamental functional importance: the anti-codon, which is responsible for specific mRNA codon recognition, and the 3' end, to which the tRNAs corresponding amino acid is attached (by aminoacyl-tRNA synthetases). tRNAs cope with the degeneracy of the genetic code in two manners: having more than one tRNA (with a specific anti-codon) for a particular amino acid; and 'wobble' base-pairing, i.e. permitting non-standard base-pairing at the 3rd anti-codon position.
Source: Rfam by way of RNAcentral